This 517-nucleotide ribosomal RNA is filed under the name Macaca fascicularis (crab-eating macaque). RNAcentral's name for it is "partial 12S ribosomal RNA". It matches the Rfam family "Bacterial small subunit ribosomal RNA", at positions 789 to 1533 of the family's 1533-position model. The record is from RNAcentral. Lineage: Eukaryota; Metazoa; Chordata; Mammalia; Primates; Cercopithecidae.
ACUAUGCUUGGCCCUAAACCUCAGUAGUUAGAUAACAAAACUACUCGCCAGAAUACUACAAGCAACAGCUUAAAACUCAAAGGACUUGACGGUGCUUUACAUCCCCCUAGAGGAGCCUGUUCCGUAAUCGAUAAACCCCGAUCCACCCUACCCUCUCUUGCUCAGCCUAUAUACCGCCAUCUUCAGCAAACCCUAAUGAGGGCCACAAAGUGAGCGCAAACGCCACCGCCGCGAAUACGUUAGGUCAAGGUGUAGCCCAUGAGACGGUAAAAAAUGGGCUACAUUUUCUAUUUCAGAAAACCCACGAAAACCCUUAUGAAACUUAAGGGUCCAAGGAGGAUUUAGCAGUAAAUUAAGAAUAGAGUGCUUAAUUGAACCAGGCCAUAAAGCGCGCACACACCGCCCGUCACUCCUCUCAAAUAUAUUUAAGGAAUAUCCUAACUAAACGCCCUAAUAUUUAUAUAGAGAGGAUAAGUCGUAACAUGGUAAGCGUACUGGAAGGUGCGCUUGGAUAAAU